This is a long non-coding RNA of Gallus gallus (chicken), 2161 nucleotides long. Lineage: Eukaryota; Metazoa; Chordata; Aves; Galliformes; Phasianidae. The record is from Ensembl.
GUUGUCUUUUUCUCUAGAAUAGAGCACGUCCCUUUUGUCAGCUUUGUCACCCAAGUGUAAAUCCUAUAGCAUCUGGGAUGAAUAAAUCAGUGAUGUUUCUAGAUUUCAGCAGGUGUGUCUGAGAGCAAGAGUGCAGGCAGAAACUGACUGAAAUGGAGGAAACCAAAGCAGUGCUUACAGGCAGGCCAUUCUACUACCACUGAUCCAAGGACCACUGGUGUGGAACCACUGUUUUGUCCGUGGUCCCAAGACAAGAGGCAGAGGGGAAAAAAUGAAGCACAGGAGGUCCUGUCUGAAAGCAUCAGGAAGUAUUUCUGUGCUGAGGGUGACCAAGCCCUAGAGCAUGUUGCUCAGAGAAGCUGCAGAGCCCUCCUGCAUUCUUGAGGAUACUCAAAAGUCACUGCAAGAUGAAGACAGCCACUGACCUCCAAAUCAAUCGGUUUUGUAGUUUACAAACAUAUUUUACAGUACUUGUAGCCAGAUUCUUUGUGGGUUGUCAUCUUUUGUUUCCAACUAAUACCGAACAACUCCUAGGUUCUCUUUCCUAAAUGUAUGUUGAUCUGCUGCAACUUCUUUUGCCAGUCUCUGCCUUAUUUGGUACCUUGUAAAAGGAAAUAGCAAUUCUCACAUCUUAGGAGGAUGGCUAAGAGUUCUCUGUCUGUCUAGAAGACUGCAUGUUCCUCAUGGUUUUUGUCCUACCAGGGAGCCACAUGUUGCAAAAGAGAAUGAUAGCAUGGGAUUGAGGAGGUAACUUGCUGAACCACUCCCAAGGAAACUGAUGGUACAAUAAAAGCAAAUUGAACCUAAUUCUUAGAUGCAAAUCUGAUGCUCUUGAUACCUUGCCAUUUGCCUCAAAGCUAUUUUUUUCUCCUUUAAGUUUGGAAGCGGAAGGGUCCAAAUCCCAAGAUACUAUUAUUAUCAUCUCAGAUAAUCUGCGAAGUAGGAGCACAGCAAUUAUUUUCCCAGGAAAUUUACUGCUAAGGGAAUUUAACAAUUGUACAAAUUGCUGCCUAAUGGUGAUGCAUAAAAAAAGGAUCAUGUUUCAUAAGAUGAACAACAUACUCUCCCUUUCUUCCACCCUUCUACUGAUAUACUGAAGUUACAAAAAAUCGGAGGGCAGUAGUGCAACCACUAAUGCUGAAAUUGCCAGGCUGGUGUCUAAUGUAAAUUGAACUUUGAUGAUUUAGUGUUACCCAACAUACCUCUCCUCAUUGUUCAUUUUAUGCAGACUGAUAAAAAUCCUUCCAGGUAGCAAUGGCCUCAUGCCCUGUAUAAGCACAGAAAAUAAUGUCAUCGCAAGCCUUAAUGAUGAAGGUAGUUAUAGGACAAAGGCCCCUGCAGCAAGUUGGGUAUUGGGUCAUUGUUCCAGCUAAUGUCAUGAUGCCAUUUCUCACUAUUUUUAGAACUGUUUUCUUUGUACAGCAAAUUUAUCAUGUAGUUACUUAAAAAUACAGAAGAUCUUGUCUUCUCUGGACUUAGUAGCAAAAGAUUGUCUUCCUCUGACUUCUGCAAAUUAGACAAUCCCCUAAAAGCUGCAGAGAUUGAUUAAAACUUAAACUUAAAACCUAAAUUUAAGCUUAGAAAAAAUGAGUAUCUCAACCCAAUCUGCUGUUAGCACUUGGUGUAAUGACAGACUAAGCACAAAGACCUUACAGAAAAAUUUGCAGGAAUCCAAGUUAGCCACUCACAGUUCCAGAAGUAAUUCAGGGAUUCAGUAAAUCAGCACAAACCUAGUUCCUACAUUGCAUAUAUGUUAGCACAGAUCCAAAUUUCUCUACAUUUUGGGGAAAGAAAUGUGAAACAGUGGAUGAGGAACAUUCCAUCCUUUCAUGUUAAAACUUUGUUCCAUGUCAUAUAGCCAAGCCCUUUUAUUAUUAUCUACUUUGUAUAUUAUGGUUGCCGCAGAUACCUUAUCAAAAAUUGAAACUCUGAUUUUGGUUGUCCUAUAAGCACAGAAGAUGCAACCUGUAAACUCAGAAUUUAAGGAUUUAGGAAGCAAGACAGACAGAGACCAGUUCUCAUUCCCAUGUUACAGGCAGGGAAAUAGGACAUAGGAAGAUUAAAUGACUAGCUCACGGUCAGAAAACGAGUUUCUAGCAAAGGUAGGGUCUCAGCAAUAUUUUCCAAAAUCUCCGCCCAACACUUUAGGGAUCCAUUCAUG